UUUAGAAAUUGAGGAGAUGACCUAUGAGAGCUUUACAUCAAUUAUGUGAUACCAUGAUAUAAAUUAUUGUUUUGGUAGAAUGAUAUAUGAAGAGCGAUGUGUCAGAUUUAGAUUUUAAAAAACCCAAGAGAAGCAAAUAGUAAUAUAUUAGGUAUAUGAAUGACCUUCUAACAAUUUUGAAUAAAUUUUUAUGUUAACAGCAGAACAAAAAACCUUAAUAUUUCACAACUCUAAAUCAAUCAUUGUGAUUAUGGAAAGUGGACUCCAUUACAAAGCCAAAAUUGCCA
This 287-nucleotide long non-coding RNA is filed under the name Gossypium raimondii (Peruvian cotton). RNAcentral describes it as "long non-coding RNA (GRAI_LNC003159)". Lineage: Eukaryota; Viridiplantae; Streptophyta; Magnoliopsida; Malvales; Malvaceae. The record is from RNAcentral.